UACGGGGGAUGCAAGCGUUAUCCGGAAUCAUUGGGCGUAAAGCGUCUGUAGGUUGUUUAAUAAGUCUGUUGUUAAAGACUAGGGCUCAACCCUAGAAAAGCAAUGGAAACUACUAGACUUGAGUAUGGCAGGGGUAGAGGGAAUUUCUAGUGUAGCGGUGAAAUGCGUAGAUAUUAGAAAGAACACCAGCGGCGAAAGCGCUCUACUGGACCAUUACUGACACUCAGAGACGAAAGCUAGGGUAGCAAAAGGGAUUAGAUACCCCUGUAGUCCUAGCCGUAAACGAUGGAUACUAGGUGUCGGGGGAUCGCCCCGGUGUCGUAGCUAACGCGUUAAGUGUUCCGCCUGGGGAGUACGCACGCAAGUGUG
This 369-nucleotide ribosomal RNA is filed under the name uncultured phototrophic eukaryote. Its description in RNAcentral is "SSU rRNA". It matches the Rfam family "Bacterial small subunit ribosomal RNA", at positions 524 to 896 of the family's 1533-position model. The record is from RNAcentral.